Molecule: transfer RNA, 66 nt
Filed under: pig gut metagenome
Rfam family: tRNA
About the family: Transfer RNA (tRNA) molecules are approximately 80 nucleotides in length. Their secondary structure includes four short double-helical elements and three loops (D, anti-codon, and T loops).
Source: RNAcentral
GGUAUAGUGCAGUUGGUUAACGCGCCAGAUUGUGGCUCUGGAGACCGUGGGUUCGAGUCCCACUAC